AUCGAAGCCUCCUUGCCAAUUUCCCUGAUUAUUGUGCAGGGUGGAUGUUGGCCUCCCGUGAGCUCUUUCGUCUCAUGGUUGGUUGAAAAUUGAGACCUUGGUAGGGUGUGCCAUGAUAGAUGGUGGUUGUGUGACCCACGAGACCAAUCAUGCGCUGCUCUAUUGAAUUUGGCCUCCUUUACCCAUAUGCGUUUCCAAACGCUCGUG
This 207-nucleotide unclassified non-coding RNA is filed under the name Vicia faba (fava bean). RNAcentral describes it as "partial internal transcribed spacer 2". Lineage: Eukaryota; Viridiplantae; Streptophyta; Magnoliopsida; Fabales; Fabaceae. The record is from RNAcentral.